UCGGCAGAGAAUGAACAUGUACAUGCUGGCCAACCCAACCCCACGAUCCUCCAUCGGCAUGAUCAUGAUGUGUUCUCAAAUAUCAGGCCAGUAAAUCACCAUGCUCGUGCUGGUAAAGGCUGGAGGGCUUGGGUUGGCCCACAUUGACAUGUUCACCUUGUGCUUGU
Non-coding RNA from Brachypodium distachyon (stiff brome), 167 nucleotides. The record is from Rfam. NCBI's taxonomy places the organism in Eukaryota, Viridiplantae, Streptophyta, Magnoliopsida, Poales, Poaceae.